Molecule: ribosomal RNA, 447 nt
Filed under: uncultured bacterium
Lineage: Bacteria
Description: partial 16S ribosomal RNA
Rfam family: Bacterial small subunit ribosomal RNA
Source: RNAcentral
AGCGAACGCUGGCGGCAGGCUUAACACAUGCAAGUCGAACGCCCCGCAAGGGGAGUGGCAGACGGGUGAGUAACACGUGGGAACGUACCCUUUGGUUCGGAAUAACUUGGGGAAACUCAAGCUAACACCGGAUAAGCCCUUACGGGGAAAGGUUUACUGCCGAAGGAUCGGCCCGCGUCUGAUUAGCUAGUUGGUGAGGUAACGGCUCACCAAGGCGACGAUCAGUAGCUGGUCUGAGAGGAUGAUCAGCCACACUGGGACUGAGACACGGCCCAGACUCCUACGGGAGGCAGCAGUGGGGAAUAUUGGACAAUGGGGGCAACCCUGAUCCAGCCAUGCCGCGUGAGUGAUGAAGGCCUUAGGGUUGUAAAGCUCUUUUACCCGGGACGAUAAUGACUGUACCGGGAGAAUAAGCCCCGGCUAACUUCGUGCCAGCAGCCGCCGCUG